This 74-nucleotide transfer RNA is filed under the name Patescibacteria group bacterium. RNAcentral's name for it is "tRNA-Ile". It matches the Rfam family "tRNA". From Rfam's summary of the family: Transfer RNA (tRNA) molecules are approximately 80 nucleotides in length. Their secondary structure includes four short double-helical elements and three loops (D, anti-codon, and T loops). Further hydrogen bonds mediate the characteristic L-shaped molecular structure. tRNAs have two regions of fundamental functional importance: the anti-codon, which is responsible for specific mRNA codon recognition, and the 3' end, to which the tRNAs corresponding amino acid is attached (by aminoacyl-tRNA synthetases). tRNAs cope with the degeneracy of the genetic code in two manners: having more than one tRNA (with a specific anti-codon) for a particular amino acid; and 'wobble' base-pairing, i.e. permitting non-standard base-pairing at the 3rd anti-codon position. The record is from RNAcentral.
GGGCAUGUAGCUCAAUUGGUUAGAGCACUAAGCUUAUACCUUAGCGGUUCCUGGUUCGAGUCCAGGCAUGCCCA